Molecule: non-coding RNA, 215 nt
Organism: Pelobates cultripes (western spadefoot toad)
Lineage: Eukaryota; Metazoa; Chordata; Amphibia; Anura; Pelobatidae
Source: the annotation of a GenBank genome assembly
GACAAGAUGUGGGAUCGGGAGCCCCAAACAAUUAUUUGAUCCAGUAUUUAAACAGAUUAGCUAAAGUAUGGAUAUACCAGAAGUCUUAUGCUUAAGACUAAGUUAUAUUAGCGUUAUGGUCUACAAUACGUGAUUUUGCUAAUAAGGUACUUGGUCAAAUAUUUCAGCUUAAAUUUCCCUCUCUUCCCACUGGAUCUCAGAAAUAAGUUAAGAAC